Molecule: ribosomal RNA, 398 nt
Filed under: uncultured bacterium
Lineage: Bacteria
Description: bacterial SSU rRNA
Rfam family: Bacterial small subunit ribosomal RNA
Source: RNAcentral
GGAAUUUUGCGCAAUGGGCGCAAGCCUGACGCAGCAACGCCGCGUGGAGGAAGAAGGCCCUCGGGUCGUAAACUCCUGUCCUUGGGGAAGAUGGUGACGGUACCCGGGGAGGAAGCCCCGGCUAAAUCCGUGCCAGCAGCCGCGGUAAUACGGGGGGGGCGAGCGUUGUUCGGAAUUACUGGGCGUAAAGGGCGCGUAGGCGGCCUGAGAAGUUCUGGGUGAAAGUCCUCGGCUCAACCGGGGAAUUGCCUGGAAAACCAUCGGGCUGGAGUGCUGGAGAGGCCGGCGGAAUUCCUGGUGUAGCGGUGAAAUGCGUAGAUAUCAGGAGGAACACCCGAGGCGAAGGCGGCCGGCUGGACAGACACUGACGCUGAGGCGCGAAAGCCAGGGGAGCAAAC